This 353-nucleotide ribosomal RNA is filed under the name uncultured bacterium. RNAcentral describes it as "bacterial SSU rRNA". It matches the Rfam family "Bacterial small subunit ribosomal RNA", at positions 134 to 507 of the family's 1533-position model. The record is from RNAcentral.
GGGAGGGGAACAACAAGUACGGAAACGAUGCUAACUACCCAUAUGUCUUUCGAGUAGAAAUGGUAUUUUUAUCCGCCUAGAGAGAAGCUCGCGGCUGAUUAGCUUGUUGGUAAGGUAAGAGCUUUACCAAGGCGACGAUCAGUAUCUGGUUUUGAGAGGACGAUCAGACACACUGGAACUGAGACACGGUCCAGACUCCUACGGGAGGCAGCAGUGGGGAAUUUUCCGCAAUGGGCGAAAGCCUGACGGAGCAAUACCGCGUGAGGGAAGAAUGCCUAUGGGUUGUAAACCUCUUUUUUCAGGGAGGAAUCAAAUGACGUGUACCUGAAGAAUAAGCAUCGGCUAACUCCGUG